Molecule: RNA transcript, 7061 nt
Organism: Pseudophryne corroboree (corroboree frog)
Lineage: Eukaryota; Metazoa; Chordata; Amphibia; Anura; Myobatrachidae
Exons: 5
Source: RefSeq, a predicted model, not a curated record
ACCCCAUCUGGGCUGCCAUGGAUAUUUAUGUGACUUCUGUGCCCUUUUCCCCCUCUACAAAAUGCAGCCUGGCUGAACGCUUUGUGACUUGCUGCAGGGAAAGGGUUAAAGAUAUGCUCUGUGCUGUAGCUGGCAUGCGCUGGGACAGUUAACAGCUGAGGGCUGGGACAGUUGGCAGUUGGGCGGCGGCCAUCUUAGAAGGACAGAGAGCAAAGAGUGGAGCAGCGCUAAUAUCUGCAUUGUGUAGGGAUGUUCCCGGUGACUGGAAGGAAAGGAGAUUGACGGCAGCAGCUAGGGGACUCUGUGAUCAGCUACGCAUAUCCCUGUGAGAAUCGGUGGAUGAUGGCAGCAGCAGAGACAAUUGAGGCUGUGUUUAGGGACAUCUUCUGGCAUCCAAGGACAGUGAUGAAGCUACUCACCUCCCAGUGUAGGAGGGUCAGGAAGCACCUCCUCCUUUAGAGCUGCAGCUGGUGAGCAAAGAGGACAGAUCACACUCUCCUAGGGCAGUAACUGUGACAGGGGGAUACAUUACCAGGGGACACUGCCUAAAGGCUGCUGAAAGUAAGGCAGAAGUAAAUAGGCAUCACACUAAGUGAGAGAGACUUUGACACUACUUCUAAUAUCUGUGACUUAUAUGUUGACUAACAGCAGGAGACCCUUUUACCCUCCCCUACCUGGCAGGGUUGCUUUGUAGUCUACUAGUGCAGCACAAAGUGAGUUAAUAAAGCGUCCGCAUUUCAGGGAACAUAUUGAUACAGUAUUCAGCUGUUAUUGCCUGUGGAGGAGACCCAGAAACUUUUGGAAGCCCCUCCCUGCCAUCCUUCUAUAUGUAAAGUACAGUACAUUAAGGCUCAGAACUUGCUAAACUGGGAAAUGUAAUAAGGAACUUCUGAGUACUCCAACGAGAACUGUGUAACUGGCCAUAAGUAGUAUAUGGGGCCCCAGCGCUGAGAUUUGUUAUAUUUUAAUGCAUUGUUUUGUGUAAAACAUUAUUUAGAUUGUAUUUGUGUUUUGCAUUUAAAUUGGCUUAGAACAAUAAGGGUCUGAUAUGUCUUUGUAUAAUUUAAUUCUAACUAAGAGAAAUUGUUUGACUACCUUAUUGAUAACCAUCCAUUGGCAGGUUGUAUUUGUCUGUGCUGUGUGAGACUUCAGAUCAGCAAAUUGAGUUCCAGCAUAAUAAACUGAUUAAUUUUGCCUUUUGUAAGCGAUAUUGAAAAUUGUAUUAUUUUAUUUCAAAACUGAAAACUGUUUUAAUUGAGUCCACUUGUUUAAUGCAAGAUUCAGAAACCUUGUUACCACUUACUGAAGAAGCAGAAAACCCAUGCCAACAGACCAAUUAUUACUAGUAAGGCAUAUAUUCAAUACUCUACACUAACAUCAUACUUCCCUGGGUGUUACAUUUGGCGUCACUAAGAACAGGAUCCGAACACACAAUGUUAUCUGGAAAGCAAGCUGCUGGGGAUUCCUCAAGUACUCGUGCAACUAUGGCUAGCUCAAAUCCAAUAACCUUGCCAUAUUACUUUGGAGCCCUAUGGAUUCCGACAUAUAGUGGAGAUGCUCAAGGUUCUGAUGGGAACGCUCUGACUGAAUUUAAGAACAAAAUGGAGUCUAUGUUCCGCCUGUACCCACUGUCAGAGAUACAGCAAGUGGAGAUUCUAAUAGGGCAGCUGAAAGGCACGGCAUGGAGAGAGGUGACUUCAUGGCCAGUGGAUCAAAGAAAAACAGCAGACCUGAUCCUGAGCCGACUAGUUGCCAUGUUUGAUACAAGAACAUUGUCUGAUCUUAAGGUGGCCUUUUACUCAAGAAAGCAGCAGCCAGGAGAAACGUUGCGUGAUUUUGCACUCAGUCUACAUGAGGCGCUACGAGAACUUCAGGCCUCCGAUUCAACAGAAAUUCGACCAACAGACGAAAUUUUGAUUAAUCAAUUUAUAGACGGAUCCCAUGGUGAGAUUGUGAAAGUGCAUUUACGUUUACUUCAGUUACAGUUACCAAAUAGCUCAUUCUUGUGCUUCAAAAAUGCUGCCAUUAAACUGGUAGAGACAAUACAGAGGCAAGAACUGUCCUGUCCUGAGAUUCUGAGGUCCCAAGAAAAUAAAUAUUCUCCAGCAAUUGUGAAGCAGGAAAUCAUGGAUACACACAUACCAGAAGAAAUUGUUGUACAUGGUGAUCAGGCACCAAAGACUGAUAUAUUAAGUGCUAUAGGCAUACAAAUCGCUGAAUUGACCCAAAGGAUAACUGAAAUGUCACAGCAAUUGCGGUAUCUCAUGCAGCAACAAGCAAAGUGCGGAGAAGAGAUAGACUGGGGCAUCAAUGAAGGACAGCCCAGAAAUGUGGACCUUCGUCCUGUAGUCCAGAAUCAAAUUAAAGUUAUUGAAACACCAGCUGCAGACCCAGAGUCUGACGUUAGUCCAAGAAAAGUUAUAGGGAGAGUCGUUUGGUUUAACGUGCGAUAUGGCUAUGGCUUUAUCAAUCGGCAUGAUACCAAGAAAGAUGUGUUUGUGCAUUAUACGGCCAUAAAGAAGAACAACCCUAGGAAGUAUUUCCGAAGCCUGGAUAGCGGAGAAAUGGUUGAGUUUGAUGUUGUAAAUGGCAAACAAGGUCCGCAGGCAGCUAAUGUAACUGGUCCUGGUGGUGUUACGGUGCAAGGCAGCAGAUAUGUAGCAGAUCCAAAGUGUUAUUGGCACUAUACAUGUUACAGAGGUCCUCCACGUGAUUAUCAGCAAAGAUACCAAUGCAGUGAAUGUGGAGAUGAGCGUAAAGUAGAAGAAAAUGCAAAUCAACCACAGUCUGAUCGGAUCAGUUGCUACCCACCAUGCUAUUCAGAGAGAAUAUAUGGACACACACAACUAUAUACUGAUGUUUCACAGCAAAGUGAACCAUUGGGUCGCAUAGACCAGCUAAUUGUGGAGGAACGAGUUGACCCAGGGCAGCGGAGCCUGCAGGACAUAAUUGGACCUCAGCUGCCUCCAGACUCAGCAUGUGCGGGUGAGGCCAGAAUGGAGGACAUCGGUUCUAGUGCGGCCUACCUUGAUCAGGCAAAUUCAGGUGUAGCAAACCAGGAAGAGGUAACAGAGGAAGAGAUCCACAUGGCUAUAGAGAAAGACUUGGAGGUUUCCCCUAAACCCAGUGCAUCAGAUACAGCUAUGGUAACCUCUGAACUCCAAGUUCCUGCAAAAUCAUCUAAUGAAGCUAAGAAGUCUGUGACUUGGCUUUUCCCCGAGUGGCAUCGCAAAGACUGCGAAUACACCACAAUAAGUGGAGAAGAAUUUAUCUCAAUUUUACAACAGACAGUGAGAAGACCGGGAAAGAGGUCCAAAGGGAUUUCUUCCCAUUAGAUCCUGGCAAUAGAAAAUGCAAAAGUGAUUAUGUAACAAAAGUAUCCAUUUUAUACAAUAGUUUUGUAAGAAAGUGUAACUGGUUAAAGGGUUUAAAUGUUAUUGUUGCUAUAUGGCAAAUUGAUUGUGUCACUAAUAUUUAUGGUACAUUUGUGAAACUUAAAGUGUAGUCUUGAAAGUUAUAGCAGAACUUCUUAUAGUGUAAUUUUGUUUAAAUAUGUUGUUAUGUAUAAACUGUAUUUCAGUUUCAGAAAUGCAAUGCUCUUUGCUGAGGUUAUGCAAUGCGUGGGGACACGCAUAAUUCUAGUGGGCCAAUAUGUGGCACCCCAUCUGGGCUGCCAUGGAUAUUUAUGUGACUUCUGUGCCCUUUUCCCCCUCUACAAAAUGCAGCCUGGCUGAACGCUUUGUGACUUGCUGCAGGGAAAGGGUUAAAGAUAUGCUCUGUGCUGUAGCUGGCAUGCGCUGGGACAGUUAACAGCUGAGGGCUGGGACAGUUGGCAGUUGGGCGGCGGCCAUCUUAGAAGGACAGAGAGCAAAGAGUGGAGCAGCGCUAAUAUCUGCAUUGUGUAGGGAUGUUCCCGGUGACUGGAAGGAAAGGAGAUUGACGGCAGCAGCUAGGGGACUCUGUGAUCAGCUACGCAUAUCCCUGUGAGAAUCGGUGGAUGAUGGCAGCAGCAGAGACAAUUGAGGCUGUGUUUAGGGACAUCUUCUGGCAUCCAAGGACAGUGAUGAAGCUACUCACCUCCCAGUGUAGGAGGGUCAGGAAGCACCUCCUCCUUUAGAGCUGCAGCUGGUGAGCAAAGAGGACAGAUCACACUCUCCUAGGGCAGUAACUGUGACAGGGGGAUACAUUACCAGGGGACACUGCCUAAAGGCUGCUGAAAGCGAUGCGGGUUAUCCCAACAAAUCGUGGCUCUUGACCCCAUUGACUAAUCCUGUUGGUAGAGCAGAAAAACGUUAUCAAGAGACACACAAAGCAUCGAGGGGAGUAUUUGAGCGUGCCUUCGGUGUACUUAAAAGCUGGUUUAGAUGUUUAGACACUUCUGGUGGUGCUCUUUUGUACUCACUGGCGAAGGUUUGCGGCAUGGUAAAUGCAUGUUGUAUUUUACACAACAUAUGUGUCGCAAACCGUUUGCCGGUGACUCUUCGUCGCAUUGCUUUCCGAAGCAGGAACCGUUCUUCUGCUCUACCGUUGGGUAUGGACGGAGAUGAUUCCCGACGGACAUUGAUCCAAAGCUUUUUUUCCACUGCCUAGUUUUUCGUCCAGUUGACGCACCUUCCCAGCACCGUUUUCUAAGUUUCGUCCUGUUGAUGACCUGUUACCCCCUGUUUUUUCCUGUUGUUGGGUUGCCGCAAAUAUUUGACCCGUUUAUCCCACUCUACCAUGGGCAACCUACUUGUGAUAUGGAUCUGAACCUCCGCCAUGUAGCAGAAAACACCCCUCAGGUGACACAAUGAAGGACAAUAGAUGGUGUUAGGACCCACACAGGUCCAUAUGCCAGACAGCCACUACCAGUGUUGGCGUCAUCAUUCAGGAGUAGGAUGGAACUGCACCUGGAAAGCCAACACACACCUCCAUACGCAGAGAUUUGACGAGUAUCUACAAAGAAGAAUGAAAAUGCUUAGCAUGUUAUCUUUCAGUCAAAUGUGUUUUCUAAGCAUCUUUGAGUACACAAACUUCCGGUGACACGUCUGAAGUGAAAGAACAAUUUUCACAGUGGAUUAGUUUAACCAUUUAUGGUCAAUUGCAUGUUUCUGGUGUAUCCCAGUGAUGACACUGGUAAAGUAGACGAAUGAGGUACUAAGUGACCCUCCAAAAAUAUGGUUUGGUCAUUUUGGUCAUGUUCAUUUUUAGUACAUAGAGCAAUGUAGCUUGCACAUCAAAACAUUGUAAUUCAUUCUUAUUUGAUAUUCUGAUACUCUAGCAUCUGCUAGAAAAUUCUCACAGUGUUUUUGUUAAUUUAACUGGAUCUUGGAAUUUUAAUAGCAACUGUCAUCACAAUAUAGUCUAUUUAGGGUUAAGUAGGCCAAAAAUCUGCAACUAAUGUUGUUAAAAAAUAGUGGGGUAAAUGGAAGAUGGGUCGUUAUGAGGGAGAGGUGGUAUCAGUGCUGUUAUGUGUGCUGAUACCAUUUCUCCCAAAUGUAUGACUCUAGUGGUGUGUGCAAGGUGACAGGUGCCCGAUGCACACCGAUGUGCAGGGCAGUGUAUGAAAAGUCAGUAGCACCAGUGGCGUAACUACCGAGAGUGCAGGGGUGCAGCUGCUAUGGGGCCGAGAUGUUUCCAGGGCCGGCAGCUCCCCCUGCACCCAGUCCCCCACAAAGAAUUGCCGCAGGUGCACCCCCAAAAGUAGUGGAUGCGAUACAUGCUCCCUGCCCAUCAGCAUCACCGGCGUGGCUCCAUAUGUAUACAUAAUGUAGUGGUAAAUAGUUUUUGGUGUUGUGGGGGUCCCUUGCUGUGUGGCUUACUUUUUAUUUUUGGACCACAUACUACAAUUGGUCAUUGUGUUGUAUGUACACAUGUAUUUCCUCCUUUCACGCAUACUGAACUAAUGUUUUCCUUUAGAUCCAGAGAGUGAUGCGCCUCGCUUACCAAGAUUGGACCCUGUGCAAAUACAAGAAGAAGACACAUUGGGGUCAAUUCAAUUGUUUGUAAAAGCAUGAUAAUUAAUGGGCAUCCAUUGCUGCUAUUCAAUUGUUUUGGGUGCUCCUUAAUUAUCGCGCUUAUCACACCCACUUAGUAGUGUUUAGCCUUGUAAAGUUGCUAACAUGACUAAACUUAUGGACACACCGGGGAAAAGUGUUGUUUGGACUUCCAAACAGCUGACUUCUCAAACAUUUCAACUAGCCACCUCCGGGGGUGAAAGCUGAGAUGUGACUACCAUGGGUAAUGGGCGUCUGAUGGCAGCAACAAUUAAAUAUCUCCAAUAGAUACCAAAUACGGCAGACAAAACAACAAACAAUUGAAUUACCCCCAUUGACUUUGAAUUUGUAUGUGUUCACACCACCACAAGCCUAACAAGCCCACCCAGCUCUGACUUACAGGAACCUACCACAAACAGGUACUGAUGCUGCCUUCAGCCUUCCUGACCUCCAUGGUGACAUUCCAUAGUCAGCAUGUGGAUCUAUUAGAUACACAACUAAAACAUUUGCCACAAAUAUCACGCAAUUUGCACAAACAUAACAGCAAUCCUUCAGAAAUUAAUGCCAAUUCCUGCCUUUCAAUAAAAAUAUAACAAAUCUAAAUGAAAAUGUCUGUAAUGUCAACAAAAAUUUGUCCAAACAUUUUUGUAUCAUAUCCAGGAUUUUAGAGGCACAAACCAACUCAAACAUGGCCUUUCAAGAUAAUUUAUUGUGACUCAUUGAAAGCCAAAACAACAUUUUCAGGGGCAUCAAUGAAAAUAUAAGUUCACUAGCCCAACAAAUUGGUAAUUGCCUCCCUGAGGCCUCAAGUGCUGCCAGUAGUAGUGCCAACUCCCUACCUGUACCACUGUCACCCGGGCAUGGGGCCCGCACAACUAGGGAGACCAAUCCCGGGAUCGGCGGGAUCACGGGAUUUGGGCCCAAAAAUGCCGGGAUUUGAAUCCCAGGAUUGGAGCCUCCAAUCCCGGGAUUCAUGGAAUUAGAGUGCGCAUGCGCAGUUUUGCCGGACAGCGCUGAGCACUAUAGCACAGCGCUGCCUGGCUGUCAGGGAGGUAGUUACAGCAGCCACAUGUAGUUCCACAUACA